CCUACGGGAGGCAGCAGUGGGGAAUAUUGCACAAUGGGCGCAAGCCUGAUGCAGCCAUGCCGCGUGUAUGAAGAAGGCCUUCGGGUUGUAAAGUACUUUCAGCGGGGAGGAAGGCGAUAAGGUUAAUAACCUUGUCGAUUGACGUUACCCGCAGAAGAAGCACCGGAUAACUCCGUGCCAGCAGCCGCGGUAAUACGGAGGGUGCAAGCGUUAAUCGGAAUUACUGGGCGUAAAGCGCUCGCAGGCGGUCUGUCAAGUCGGAUGUGAAAUCCCCGGGCUCAACCUGGGAACUGCAUUCGAAACUGGCAGGCUAGAGUCUUGUAGAGGGGGGUAGAAUUCCAGGUGUAGCGGUGGAAUGCGUAGAGAUCUGGAGGAAUACCGGUGGCGAAGGCGACCCCCUGGACAAAGACUGACGCUCAGGUGCGAAAGCGUGGGGAGCAAACAGGAUUAGAUACCCUCGUAGUC
RNAcentral lists this ribosomal RNA (465 nucleotides) under uncultured bacterium. RNAcentral describes it as "bacterial SSU rRNA". It matches the Rfam family "Bacterial small subunit ribosomal RNA", at positions 338 to 795 of the family's 1533-position model. The record is from RNAcentral.